Molecule: ribosomal RNA, 253 nt
Filed under: uncultured bacterium
Lineage: Bacteria
Description: partial 16S ribosomal RNA
Rfam family: Bacterial small subunit ribosomal RNA
Source: RNAcentral
UACGAAGGGGGCUAGCGUUGUUCGGAAUUACUGGGCGUAAAGCGCACGUAGGCGGAUAUUUAAGUCAGGGGUGAAAUCCCAGAGCUCAACUCUGGAACUGCCUUUGAUACUGGGUAUCUUGAGUAUGGAAGAGGUGAGUGGAAUUCCGAGUGUAGAGGUGAAAUUCGUAGAUAUUCGGAGGAACACCAGUGGCGAAGGCGGCUCACUGGUCCAUUACUGACGCUCAUGCACGAAAGCGUGGGGAGCAAACAGG